AUGGUUGCCGCUAUGUUCAACUCCCCCUAUGCCCUCACCGUCCUCGCCUUCCUCCUCGCCGUCGCCGUCCUCGUCUCCUCCUCGAAGCGCGGCCGCAAUGCCGCCAGGCAUGGCGAGCUACGGCUGCCUCCGUCGCCGCCCGGCUUGCCGGUCGUCGGCCACCUCCACCUGCUCGGGAGCCUGCCGCACCGGAGCCUGCGUGCGCUGGCCGCGUCCUACGGCCCGGUCAUGCACCUGCGGCUCGGGCGCGUGCCCACCGUGGUGGCGUGCUCCGCGGCCGCGGCGGAGGAGGCCAUGAGGACCCGCGACCUCGACUUCGCCAGCCGCCCCAGGCUCCUCAUGGUCGACCGCUUCUACUACGGCAUCGGCUUCACGCCCUACGGCGAGCACUGGCGCCAGGCGCGCCGCGUCGCGUCCCUGGGGCACGUCCGCGCGCAGGAGGCCGCCGCGCUCGUGGACCGGGUCCGCCGACACGCCGGCGACGUCGUGAACCUCAGUGACAACCUCAUCGUUUACUCUAACACGGUUAUCUCGCGAUGCACGUUUGGCGACACGGACUACGUGGUCGAAGGCGGCGGCGCGAGGCUGAGGAAGGUGUUCGCCGAGAUUGAGGAGCUGCUGGGCACGGUGCCCAUGGGAGAGACGGUGCCGUGGCUGCGUUGGGUGGACGUCGUCACGGGGCUGGAGAAGAAGACGAGGCGGGUCUUUGAGGACAUGGACGGAUUGCUGGAGCGGGUCAUCACCGACCACCGCCAGCGCCGCCGCGCGGCUGCGGCCACCGGGGAGGAGGGAGACUUCGGCAUCAUCGUGGACAUGCUGGCCGCCGCCACGGGCUCCACCUUCACGCUGCUGGAAUGGGCCAUGGCGGAGCUCGACACGCGGCUGCUGGGGUACGACGUGCCGGCGGGCACCCGGGUCCUGAUCCACGCCUGGGCCAUCGGCCGCGACCCGGCGACGUGGGGGAGCCGCGCCGAGGAGUUCGCGCCGGAGAGGUUCCUCGGGUACGACGGCCUCAAGAUGGGGCAGGACUUCGCGUUCCUGCCCUUCGGCGCCGGCUGGAGGGGCUGCCCCGGCGUCGGGUUCGCUAUGCUGUCCAACGAGCUGGCGCUGGCGAGCCUCGUGUGUAGCUUCGACUGGGAGCUGCCCGGCGGGAGGAUGCCGCCGGUGGACAUGAGCGAGCUGCACGGCCUCUCCGUGCGUCUCAAGGCGCCUCUGCUUCUGGUUGCCAAACCUUGGUCGUCUGUGUCUGUGGAUGGAGUUGAGUGA
This 1266-nucleotide ribosomal RNA is filed under the name Triticum aestivum (bread wheat). Its description in RNAcentral is "partial small subunit ribosomal RNA". Lineage: Eukaryota; Viridiplantae; Streptophyta; Magnoliopsida; Poales; Poaceae. The record is from RNAcentral.